ACCGGAGCUAAUACCGGAUAAUAUUUUGAACCGCAUGGUUCAAAAGUGAAAGACGGUCUUGCUGUCACUUAUAGAUGGAUCCGCGCUGCAUUAGCUAGUUGGUAAGGUAACGGCUUACCAAGGCAACGAUGCAUAGCCGACCUGAGAGGGUGAUCGGCCACACUGGAACUGAGACACGGUCCAGACUCCUACGGGAGGCAGCAGUAGGGAAUCUUCCGCAAUGGGCGAAAGCCUGACGGAGCAACGCCGCGUGAGUGAUGAAGGUCUUCGGAUCGUAAAACUCUGUUAUUAGGGAAGAACAUAUGUGUAAGUAACUGUGCACAUCUUGACGGUACCUAAUCAGAAAGCCACGGCUAACUACGUGCCAGCAGCCGCGGUAAUACGUAGGUGGCAAGCGUUAUCCG
Molecule: ribosomal RNA, 404 nt
Filed under: Staphylococcus aureus
Lineage: Bacteria; Bacillati; Bacillota; Bacilli; Caryophanales; Staphylococcaceae
Description: bacterial SSU rRNA
Rfam family: Bacterial small subunit ribosomal RNA
Source: RNAcentral